Molecule: ribosomal RNA, 253 nt
Filed under: uncultured bacterium
Lineage: Bacteria
Description: partial 16S ribosomal RNA
Rfam family: Bacterial small subunit ribosomal RNA
Source: RNAcentral
UACAGAGAUGGCACGCGUUGUUCGGAAUUACUGGGCGUAAAGGGCGAGUAGGCGGCCUUCUAAGUCAGACGUGAAAUCCCCCGGCUUAACCUGGGAACUGCGUCUGAUACUGGGAGGCUAGAGUAUGGGAGAGGGAUGUAGAAUUCCAGGUGUAGCGGUGAAAUGCGUAGAUAUCUGGAGGAAUACCGGUGGCGAAGGCGGCAUCCUGGACCAUUACUGACGCUGAAUCGCGAAAGCUAGGGGAGCAAACGGG